Long non-coding RNA from Grus americana (Whooping crane), 197 nucleotides. RefSeq lists it as uncharacterized. The record is from RefSeq and is a predicted model, not a curated record. NCBI's taxonomy places the organism in Eukaryota, Metazoa, Chordata, Aves, Gruiformes, Gruidae. The transcript has 3 exons.
CGACACAGCAAGAGAUGGCUGAAGGGCAACCACAAUACAGUUUUGUUGAAAUCAACACCUUCUAUCAGGCCUAUCGUCCAGAUGGCUCUGUGGAAGAAAUGGAGAAGCUAAUAUAAUAUAUAAGGAUGAAAAUUACCAGUAGAUUUGAUAUUGUUUAAGUGACUGAAGACUUCCCCCCCUCCCCAAGAUAAAAUGCA